AGGCCCAAAAGCCCACAAGACAGCCGCGGAGACGCGAAUGGUAGAAGUCACUAGAAGCGCCACACAACCCUAAUGUCUUUCCCCUUCCCUCAGCCGCCGCACUCACCAUCACCAUCGUCUCGCACAACAAGCAGUGCCGCCGCCUUGGAUCCCCCACCUAUGCCGCCGCCUCGGAUCCCCCACCUAUGCCGCCGCCCCAGAUCCCCCACCUACGCCGCCGCCCAGUGCCUCGCCCCCAUCUUCUUCAUCCAUACUACACCGCUCAUCGUCGCCGCCCCAUCCCUUCAUCGCCCACGCCGCCGCCUAGUGCCGUCGCCCUCGCAUCCCCCGCCCACGACGACGCCUCUGCAUCCCCCAUUGACGCCGCUGCCGUAGGUCAGUGGCAAGUUCGGAGGCGACCUCCACGAAACGCUUGACGAUCUGGCCUCCAUCCAGAGCACGCAGUCGAUGUUGGCAUCGGCAGAUUCGUUCACCAUGGUGGCAGCGCUGGCGUGGUGAGCCUGGCCUUGGGUGCCCUCUACCCGCCCUUCAUCUCUCGUUGCCUAUGGUGUGCCACUACCAUCUCGGGCAAACCUGCAGAGAAAACUUGAUCGGUCCAAAGCUUUCGAGAUGCAUUGUGAAUGAUGGCUGAGAUGUGGUGCAAAACAGAACGGAAAGAAACUUCUUGUGAUUUCAGGGAGCAGAAGUGGAUGUGAUCGCCGGUCACCGUCAAGAGAGUGCUUCCUUGGCUUGCUACCAAAGGAAAAUGGUGAGUUUGUUACUUGAGUAAAACUAUCAUCUUUGUUCUUAAUUUUUAUUGGCUCUAUAAUGAGUAGAUACUACAAUACUAGGUGGUGUAGUAUCUUGGCACCUUGUUAGGAUUAAGAAAGACAUCUAUUGGUUCUCUAAUCAGUACAUAUAGUAUUUGCUCUCUCUAAGAAAUAGCUGAACAAUGCCAAACUGAAAGUAACAAUAAUCUUGGUACUCGUUCAUUUAUAGUUCUAUAUACAAUAUGCCAAAAACUGGUACUUCAUGCUCUGGCUUGUAACAUACGGAAACUUUAUGCUGUUUGUCACUAUGGAACAGCAUGGGUACCUAACGCUUGUGCUCUGCUCAUGCUCCUGGCAGAUCCUUUUGGGUCAGAAAGCUUCUGUGUUCUGGUAUGCUCCUUGGUAAUUUUUAUUUCGUAGUGGCUAGUUUCUACUCAUUUCUGUUUUUGUCUUUUAAGAAUAGUCUGCAAAUAUAAAUGAGGAUGUGUUACUUUGUGCAACAUCUGUAAGCUAUGUUGUUCAAUAUUGCUUCUUAAAUUACUUCUGAGUUAGGUACUUUUUUCCCGGUGUAUUGCUUUAAAGAAAUAGGCCUUAAAGGGUGUGUUUUUUAAAACUCUACUAGUCAUGUUGUACAUGUACUAGUCUUGUUGCUGUUACUAGGCAUUUUUAAUACAUUUAUUUGAUAUUUAGAGAAUAAGUGCUCCCUCCGUCCCAUAAUGUAAGACGUUUUUCGACACUAAAACGUCUUACAUUAUGGGACGGAGGGAGUAAUUUAUAUGUAUUAUAUGCUGGGCGAAAAUAUUUCCAUAUAUAAACAUGCCAUGGCUAAUUGGUAAUCUUACUACAUGUUGGAUGCUUUUUUGACCUUCUGGGAGAUAUGAUAUACUCCCUCCGUCCCAUAAUAUAAGAACGUUUUUGACACUACACUAGUGUCAAAAACGUUCUUAUAUUAUGGGGUGGAGGGAGUAUGAGCAAGUGUUUCAAACUUUUGACCCUUUCAGUUAAGUUUAUAUGUAAACUACUACCCUUUGAAGAUAUGAGAAUGAAUGCCAUGUGAUACAAGUUAACCUUGCGUACUGUACUGUGAACUGAACCUGCCUUUUGUCUCUUGGGAUGAUGUUGAUAUUUCACCAGUAUAUGUAUCACAAGUCAAACUGAACUUGAGAGUUUCAUCCAUUGGACAAAAUCUCUGACGAGAGCUUAGCUAAUCACUAAAACUAUGUUGUUCUUAAAUUACUAUCUAGUUGAAGCGAUGUAGUCUAGUGACCAGGUUGUGCUUUGAUUAAAUACUUCUAAGAUGCCGUAAUUGGUUUGCUUCUUUUUUCAGGUCUGCUUUUGCACCCACAAGUUUAUGGAUCUGUGUUUUGUGAUCUAAAAGGACCUCUUGCUAGAAUCUAACUCGGUUUUUGGUUUUAAUAUCUAUCUGAUGAAGUUGCACUCUAGGAUGGAAUCACCUUGUAACUGAAACAAGAUGUUAUAUUUAGUGAUGUUAUACUGGAGGCAUGAACCUACAAAUGCAUGCAUGUAUACAUGAUGGAUUGUUGUCCUUUUGGCUGUGAUGUAGUACUGGACUUGUGAACCUGUAUGUAUGCUGUGAUGCAGUACUACACUUGUGAACCUACAAAUGUAUACAUAUGUAUGUAUGCAGACACAAUGUAAUGUUGAGAUAUAUAUGUUAUGAUGCAAUUUUAAUUACACUACA
Triticum urartu is the source of this 2451-nucleotide long non-coding RNA. RefSeq lists it as uncharacterized. The record is from RefSeq and is a predicted model, not a curated record. NCBI's taxonomy places the organism in Eukaryota, Viridiplantae, Streptophyta, Magnoliopsida, Poales, Poaceae.